AAUUAACACAGACCAGUAGAACCCAUGUGAAAAAUUGACGAGUUAUUGACAAGAAAAUUCGAUCAAUCAAUGGUGGUUGCCGUCAUUGCUGCUGGCUCCGGCCGUCCCCACGCCAUCGGAUCUCCUUGCUGACACAGGGCGCCGCUGAUUGCGUUGCCGUAGCGGUGGCACUGAUUGCGUUGCCGUAGUGGCGGCUUCCCGCCGGAUCCUCUCGCUGCCACCUUCGUGCGCGAUCCGGUGGACUGGGGGAGGAAGCGGGGGGC
RNAcentral lists this long non-coding RNA (263 nucleotides) under Brachypodium distachyon (stiff brome). Its description in RNAcentral is "long non-coding RNA (BDIS_LNC005394)". Lineage: Eukaryota; Viridiplantae; Streptophyta; Magnoliopsida; Poales; Poaceae. The record is from RNAcentral.